This 46-nucleotide non-coding RNA is filed under the name Schistosoma curassoni. The record is from RNAcentral. Lineage: Eukaryota; Metazoa; Platyhelminthes; Trematoda; Strigeidida; Schistosomatidae.
CCACUGCUGAGGAGUUCCACAAUAGGACGAAAAGGCCAUCCAGUGC